CGUGGGGAGCAAACAKGAGUAGACACGUGGGUAGACCAUGCCCAUAACGACUGAGUGAUAAGUGCUACCGGGAAACCGCCCUUUAGGGCUGAAAUUACCGGAUAACAUUUUGAACCGCAUGGUUCGAAAUUGAAAGGCGGCUUCGGCUGUCACUCUAUGGAAUGGACCCGCGCUCGCAUUAGCUAGUUGGUGCAGGUAACGGCUCAUCCAAGGCAACGAUGCGUAGCCGACCUGAGAGGGUGAUCGGCCACCACUGAGGACCCUAGAGACACGGCCCAGACUCCUACGGGAGGCAGCAGUAGGGAAUCUUCCGCAAUGGACGAAAGUCUGACGGAGCAACGCGCGUCGUGAGAUGAUGGGUAAGGCUUUCGGGUCGUAAGCAACUCUUGUUGUUAGGGAAGAACAAGUGCUAGUUGAAUAAGCUAAGGCACCUUGACGGUACCUAACCGGAGAAAGCCACGGCUAACUACGUGCCAGCAUGCCGCGGUAAUACGUAGGUGGCAAGCGUGCUACAAUGGCCGGAAUUAUUGGGCGUAAAGCGCGCGCAGGUGGUUUCUUAAGUCUGAUGUGAAAGCCCACGGCUCAACCGUGGAGGGUCAUUGGAAACUGGGAGACUUGAGUGCAGAAGAGGAAAGUGGAAUCUCCAUGUGUAGCGGAUGAACAUGCCGUAGAGAUAUGGAGGAACACCAGUGGCGAAGGCGACUUUCUGGUCUGUAACUGACACUGAGGCGCGAAAGCGUGGGGAGCAAACAGGAUUAGAUACCCUGGUAGUCCACGCCGUAAACGAUGAGUGCUAAGUGUUAGAGGGUUU
Molecule: ribosomal RNA, 811 nt
Filed under: Bacillus cereus
Lineage: Bacteria; Bacillati; Bacillota; Bacilli; Caryophanales; Bacillaceae
Description: bacterial SSU rRNA
Rfam family: Bacterial small subunit ribosomal RNA
Source: RNAcentral